UUGACCUCAAAUCAGGUAGGAUUACCCGCUGAACUUAAGCAUAUCAAUAAGCGGAGGAAA
Molecule: ribosomal RNA, 60 nt
Filed under: Suzukiozyma glaebosa
Lineage: Eukaryota; Fungi; Ascomycota; Pichiomycetes; Serinales; Debaryomycetaceae
Also listed under: 2 other names
Description: [Candida] glaebosa partial 28S ribosomal RNA
Rfam family: Eukaryotic large subunit ribosomal RNA
Source: RNAcentral